AUGCACACACACACCACAGUCCACAGGAGACAGAUAGCUAGCUAGCUUACUCUUUAGUCAUACGUACACUUAUAAAUAGCCACCGGCUCUGUGCUCAUCAGCAAGGCAGAUUAAACAAGUGAAGUGGUCCACAUCAAAAAUGAAGUAAUCAGGUCUAGGGAGUCAAAAUUUGGUUGGUUGUCCACUGGAGUUCUCCUCAAUCCACUUCAGUAGAUAGCUAUGGCUAGGCCUCAUUGCAUUGCACUGUUACAUAACUGUGAUCAUGGGGCCAAAAGCUAGCUAUGUAUAGUGAAGUGCUUGGGGGAACUCCAGUUGACACUCAGCAUUUUCAAGUUAGGUAUGUAAGUGCUUGUACUUUAUGAAUUUGUAAGUGACAGAGAAUGAUUAGGUUUGGAGUCCCUAGGAGUUCCUUUCAAGCACUUUACGACACACUGUAUUGAGAGUUGUCGUGAAGUGUUUGGGGGAACUCUUAGUG
This 475-nucleotide precursor RNA is filed under the name Oryza sativa Indica Group (long-grained rice). RNAcentral's name for it is "putative precursor microRNA R395ab". The stretch from base 394 to 475 matches the Rfam family "mir-395 microRNA precursor family". The record is from RNAcentral. Lineage: Eukaryota; Viridiplantae; Streptophyta; Magnoliopsida; Poales; Poaceae.